ACUCCUACGGGAGGCAGCAGUGGAGAAUNUGCAUAGGGAAGGGCAACGUGAGCAGCCAGCCGUCGUGAGUAGGCAGAAUCGGGCCUUCGGUUGAUGAAAGCACUUUUCCAGUUAGGGGAGGAAGGUAGUUGUAGUUAACACUGCAUUAUUUGACGUUACCUACAGAAGAAGCACCGGCUAACUCCGUGCCAGCAGCCGCGGUAAUACGGAGGGUGCGAGCGUUAAUCGGAAUUACUGGGCGUAAAAGCGCAUGCAGGCGGCCUGUUAAGUCAGAUGUGAAAGCCCGGGGCUUAACCUCGGAAUUGCAUUUGAAACUGGCAGGCUAGAGUCUUGUAGAGGGGGUGAGAAUUGUCAGGUGUAGCGGUGAAAGUGCAGUAGAGAUCUGAAGGAAU
Molecule: ribosomal RNA, 392 nt
Filed under: uncultured bacterium
Lineage: Bacteria
Description: bacterial SSU rRNA
Rfam family: Bacterial small subunit ribosomal RNA
Source: RNAcentral